CUAUGCGCCUUGCCAGCCCGCUCAGGUGUGCCAGCCGCCGCGGUAAUACGUAGGUGGCAAGCGUUGUCCGGAUUUAUUGGGCGUAAAGCGAGUGCAGGCGGUUCAAUAAGUCUGAUGUGAAAGCCUUCGGCUCAACCGGAGAAUUGCAUCAGAAACUGUUGAACUUGACGUGCAGAAGAGGAGAGUGGAACUCCAUGUGUAGCGGUGGAAUGCGUAGAUAUAUGGAAGAACACCAGUGGCGAAGGCGGCUCUCUGGUCUGCAACUGACGCUGAGGCUCGAAAGCAUGGUAGCGAACAGG
RNAcentral lists this ribosomal RNA (299 nucleotides) under uncultured bacterium. RNAcentral's name for it is "partial 16S ribosomal RNA". It matches the Rfam family "Bacterial small subunit ribosomal RNA", at positions 475 to 776 of the family's 1533-position model. The record is from RNAcentral.